Ixodes scapularis (black-legged tick) is the source of this 82-nucleotide non-coding RNA. The record is from Rfam. NCBI's taxonomy places the organism in Eukaryota, Metazoa, Arthropoda, Arachnida, Ixodida, Ixodidae.
GCAGUCGUAACCGAGUGGUUAAGGCGAUGGACUAGAAAUCCAGUGGGGUCUCCCCGCAGAGGUUCAAAUGCUGUUAACUGCG